RNAcentral lists this small RNA (1004 nucleotides) under Pan troglodytes (chimpanzee). RNAcentral describes it as "retained intron". The record is from RNAcentral. Lineage: Eukaryota; Metazoa; Chordata; Mammalia; Primates; Hominidae.
UGUUCCUUUUUGUAGAAUGGUAGUCGAAGAAGAACACCAGGUGGAGUUUUUCUGAAUCUCUUGAAAAACACUCCUAGUAUCAGCGAGGAACAAAUUAAGGACAUUUUCUACAUUGAAAACCAAAAGGAAUAUGAAAAUAAAAAAGCUGCUAGGAAGAGGAGAACACAAGUGUUGGGGAAAAAGAUGAAACAAGCUAUUAAAAGUCUAAAUUUUCAAGAAGAUGAUGAUACAUCACGAGAAACUUUUGCAAGUGACACAAAUGAGGCCUUGGCCUCUCUUGAUGAGUCACAGGAAGGACAUGCAGAAGCCAAGUUGGAGGCAGAGGAAGCCAUUGAAGUUGAUCAUUCUCAUGAUUUGGACAUCUUUUAAGUACAUUUUCAACAGUUUGAGGACUAAGCCUUUCUAAAAUAACAUUGUAAUAAACCAUUUUUACUGAGAUUGCAACGUUUUGCACUGAUAAACAUGAGUAUCUGGAGGAAAGACAAUUGUUUUCUUGUUUAAAAUAUGUGCGGAAAGGAAUGCAAUUGAUAGAACAUUUAAAGAUAUAUCUGACAAAAUACUUAAGAGUAUAUAGCACAGGAUUUAAUUUCUCAAUCUGUUGCAUGUGCUAAUUAUGAGUAUUACUAGUUGAUAAUCAGUUUUGUCUAGGUCAUAACAUACUAUUUGUAAGUUUGUUUGCUUUUUCAAGUUUAUCUUUGCAGUGAAUUAUGCUUUGGCUUUAAAACAUUCCACUAAAAUUAUAAUGGGACAUAUAAAUUAUUAAGCUGUUAGAAAUGCAUUCAAAUUUGUUUUUUCUGUGUUCUAAGAACUCAGGCAAUUUUAAGGAUAAAAACUAACAUUGGCCAGGCACGGUGGCUCACGCCUGUAAUCCCAACACUUUGGGAGACCAAGGCGGGCAGAUCACUUGAGGUCAGGAGUUUGAGACCAGCCAGGCCAACAUGGUGAAACUUCGUCUCUACUAAAAAUACAAAAACUAGCCAGGUGUGGUUCUCCAUGCCUGUAAU